This 484-nucleotide ribosomal RNA is filed under the name uncultured bacterium. Its description in RNAcentral is "bacterial SSU rRNA". It matches the Rfam family "Bacterial small subunit ribosomal RNA", at positions 30 to 507 of the family's 1533-position model. The record is from RNAcentral.
AUUGAACGCUGGCGGCAUGCUUUACACAUGCAAGUCGAACGGCAGCGCGGGGGCAACCCUGGCGGCGAGUGGCGAACGGGUGAGUAAUGUAUCGGAACGUAUCCUGUAAUGGGGGAUAACCAGUCGAAAGAUUGGGUAAUACCGCAUACGCACGAGAGUGGAAAGUAGGGGAUCGCAAGACCUUACGUUAUAGGAGCGGCCGAUAUCUGAUUAGCUAGUUGGUGGGGUAAAGGCCCACCAAGGCGACGAUCCGUAGCUGGUCUGAGAGGAUGAUCAGCCACACUGGAACUGAGACACGGUCCAGACUCCUACGGGAGGCAGCAGUAGGGAAUAUUGGACAAUGGGCGCAAGCCUGAUCCAGCCAUGCCGCGUGAGUGAAGAAGGCCCUCGGGUUGUAAAGCUCUUUUGUCCGGAAAGAAAAGCGCCGGGUUAAUACCCUGGUGUCCUGACGGUACCGGAAGAAUAAGCACCGGCUAACUUCGUG